AUCAAUGGGCAGAGGCUUCGCUGAUACUCAAGUCUGGUCCCUGGAUGUCAGCGCUUACCAAAUGUCUACAAUAAUGCCAGCUGCUGAAGUAAGAAUUAAACAACAACAACCAGUUCCUGAAUGGAAAAAGAAGUUUAAGAUAUGAUCUCUGAUCUCAAACAGCUUACUAGUGUGAAAUCACUAAAGUAUGUGAAACAAUCAA
Molecule: non-coding RNA, 202 nt
Organism: Callorhinus ursinus (northern fur seal)
Lineage: Eukaryota; Metazoa; Chordata; Mammalia; Carnivora; Otariidae
Source: RefSeq, a predicted model, not a curated record